Molecule: long non-coding RNA, 779 nt
Organism: Larimichthys crocea (large yellow croaker)
Lineage: Eukaryota; Metazoa; Chordata; Actinopteri; Sciaenidae
Exons: 5
Source: RefSeq, a predicted model, not a curated record
UUCAGCUCUGGGAGCAGAGAUCAAACCGUACCUGGAUGACGGGAGGCCAGUCCCAGACUCGCUGGUUCUGCAGGUUCUGGAGGAGCGUCUGAGCCGAGUGGACUGCAGCAGCAGAGGCUGGGUCCUCCACGGCUUCCCCCGAGACCUGCAGCAGGCCAAGAGCCUGAAGGAGAGCCAGCACCAGCCCAACAGAGUCUUCUUCCUGGAGCUGACUGAUGACGUGUGUGUGGACAGAGUCAGUCUCAGAGGGACCGACCCGCUCAGUGGACAGAGGUUCCACGCUGUGACUCGACCCGCUCCGAACUCCGAGGUCCAGAACCGACUGAGGACAAGACCCGAGGACAGCACACACACUGUGACACACACACUAAGCCAGUACAGGACACACACUGCAGCCCUGCAGUCUGUGUAUCCAGAUGGACUUCACGUUGAUGCUGAUCAGGAUCCUCACUCUGUGUUUGAAGCUCUGGAGAGCCGCCUGACGACUGAGUGACUCACCUGGACGGACAGGAAGUGGACAGACAGGAAGUGGACAGACAGGAAGUGGACAGACAGGAAGUGGACUCUGUCGUUCUCUCAUCGUUUAUUCAAAAUGUUUAAGAACAAAUAAAAUGUUAGUUAUCCGUCUGUGAACGGAGCUCUGUGUUGGGCGACAGAUUGUUGUGUAUGAAAUAUAGUGUAACGUUGAUGUAACGUUGAUGUAACGUUGAUGUAACGUUGAUGUAACGUGUAGGUUAAGAUGUGGGAAUGACGUUCUAAUAAAGCAGCUGAUGAUCAAA